This 2434-nucleotide long non-coding RNA is filed under the name Salmo salar (Atlantic salmon). RNAcentral's name for it is "lncRNA (ENSSSAG00000090892.1)". The record is from RNAcentral. Lineage: Eukaryota; Metazoa; Chordata; Actinopteri; Salmoniformes; Salmonidae.
GUCUUGUUGGGUAUACUUGGGGCAUUAUAUGUUUCACUACUGUAAAUAUGCAGACAUCUUGCCAUCCCUUUCCUUUCAUCUUCAAUUCUAACACAAAUAUGAUCUGACUGAGGUAUGACUCAGUAGGAUACAGCUAUAGAAUGAACAUGUAUUACUAUUUAUCAUGCAAGCAUUAGUCUAGGCCUACUUUUUCCAUUACUUGUUUCAUUGGAUGAAAUCUCACUUUUCUACUGCUUGAACACUACUAUUAGCUUAUUGCUAACAUUUUGAAAAAUCCUAUAUUUGAUCCUAUCGGGGGUUAUAACUAUCUAUCUCUUUUCACCAAGAGGAAACCAUCAAUGAAAACAGACCUACUGGUGAUUGCCCAUUAAAUGUAUCAAGUGAAAUACUGUGUCAAGCACAGCAUAAGCAGGCACAUGACAGUCUUACGUAAUUAUACAACUGGGCAACAGCACUAUAAAUACAGCUGUGAGGCCUGCGUGUGUUGUUGCUAAUAAUAAAUAAGAAUGCCAAAUAAUGACUGAAUUGCUGACGUCAUUCAAAAAUACUCGGUUAAUAAUAGCCCUGUCCCAGAGUUAGGCAUUCCUAAGUAUCUAUCUAAGUUACUUACAUAGUAAUAGCAUGUGACUAUGCAAUAACUUACAGUAUCCUCAGAAUAUCAAAUGUAUUUUAGGCAAUUCGGAGAGUAACUGUGUUAAAUGUUGUUUUGACAGAAGAAAACAACAAAGGUAUGCGCUAAGCUCACCUAUUCUUUGAUGUUUCUCCAGUGUCACGUUUUUCCCUUUUUCUUUACUGUAGGCUCUGCGUUUGACCCGGUAUUUACUGAGAAAUACGACAGCAGAGUAUAUUACUAGUUUGUUUCCUGUCUCAAAAUUAUUCAAGAGCUCUUCGUCCUCGUUGAAGUGAAUAGAAUACGCAGUGCCGUGGCUCGAGGUGUCCACUUGAUGCUCGAGGAUGAUGAUUCAGGAGCGCUCCUUCCAACCGCGCGCACAUCUCUGGCAGCAACAGCUGGCUGCAGCCCAUUUGUAAAUUACCAUAUAUACCGCCCCCUCGGCUAUGCCCAUUGGCUUAGCGCUGGUACACUCAUCUGCCUCCGCUAGCCAACAUUUCAGUUGACGAGAGACUACAGAAGUAGGCUACAAUUCAAUGAAAGCUGUCACAACUGACGCCCCAAAUAGUUUGUGUCAAUAUGACAUGCUUGCUUCUUAGUUUUUAUGUUAUUGUUAGAUGUGAUAUUUACCUCAUACACAUUACUGUACAUGACGAGACAUGGACAUGUUAUAUUAUAACAUAUGGGAAUAAAUUAUGAAAAUGUAUUAUGACAUUAAAGAGCGACUGGCCCUAAAACCCAACUAAUCAUUUUGAAAAUGGCCCAUGUGGCAUCAAAAUGAGUCAGAAACAUGUAUUCUAGUGUCAAAAUGUACUAAAAAGUGUAAAUAGGAUAAUUUUGGUCAUAAAGUCAGCCUCGUCUAAAACGGAGUUUGGAACAUCAGUGCGUCACAAGUAGGCCUAAAUUAAGGUUGGGUUUGGAUUACAAUGAUGUCAUCAAAUAAUGCCCCCUUUUGCCAAACUCCUCCUGCAAAUCGCCUCUCAGCCCACUUCGCUUCCCUUCAUUAAAUGGGGCUCCGUUGUUUCAUCGCCUCCAAUGUGUUCAAAGGAUCAUGGCCGUUUUAGACUGAAAGCCCUAUACGGAUUGACCAUGCAUGCAUGCUUCCAGCAGGAUGCACAGCUAACUGGUGUGCAUGCCCUGCCGAAGGACCAGUGGUGGAAAAAGUACCCAAUUGUCAUACUUGAGUAAAAGUAAAGAUACCUUAAUAGAAAAUGACUCAAGUAAAAGUGAAAGUCACCCAGUAUAAAACGACUUGAGUAAAAGUCUAAAAGUAUUUGGUUUUAAAUAUACAAAGGUGGGUUUCAUAACAUGUCCAGCAAUAUGAUUGCAAUGGUUGAGCAACCUCCAAAAAGAAUGUAAUUCACUGUUCACUUGCUAUUUUCACAGUUUGUCAGGCAAGACCUCAGAAUAAAAGUGGUUCAUGCGACACAAGUACCCUUGUUACACCUCCUAUGUUGUUGCUAGUCCCCCUCGACUCCUAUGAAAAGGAUACGCCAUCAUGAGGCCUCUGAUAGUGACCCGAGUUACUGCCCUGAUGACACAGCGGCUUCAUCAACAAUGACAGGCCCUCCCAGUCAACACCACCUCAUAAGAUUGCCUGCUGCAGUUGUUCGAGAGAUGUCCAGUUUGCAGCCAAACAUGCAGCAUAGAGAAGACCAGCAAGGGGGCCCUCAUCAGCAUCAUGCGGACAUGCCUUCGCUGUGAGCAUUCCAAUGAAUGAAACAGUCAGCCACAUGUUGGCUGUAUCUGGCCAGCAGCCUUCACCAGUCAGCAGCAACAGCUUUCACAGGCUCAUCAUUUGUACAAAUACAGACGUUAACCCAC